Molecule: ribosomal RNA, 466 nt
Filed under: uncultured bacterium
Lineage: Bacteria
Description: partial 16S ribosomal RNA
Rfam family: Bacterial small subunit ribosomal RNA
Source: RNAcentral
GAUGAACGCUGGCGGCGUGCUUAACACAUGCAAGUCGAACGAUGAAGCCCAGCUUGCUGGGUGGAUUAGUGGCGAACGGGUGAGUAACACGUGAGUAACCUGCCCUUAACUCUGGGAUAAGCCUGGGAAACUGGGUCUAAUACCGGAUAGGAGCGCCUACCGCAUGGUGGGUGUUGGAAAGAUUUAUCGGUUUUGGAUGGACUCGCGGCCUAUCGGCUUGUUGGUGAGGUAAUGGCUCACCAAGGCGACGACGGGUAGCCGGCCUGAGAGGGUGACCGGCCACACUGGGACUGAGACACGGCCCAGACUCCUACGGGAGGCAGCAGUGGGGAAUAUUGCACAAUGGGCGAAAGCCUGAUGCAGCGACGCCGCGUGAGGGAUGACGGCCUUCGGGUUGUAAACCUCUUUCAGUAGGGAAGAAGCGAAAGUGACGGUACCUGCAGAAGAAGCACCGGCUAACUACGUG